RNAcentral lists this ribosomal RNA (349 nucleotides) under uncultured bacterium. Its description in RNAcentral is "bacterial SSU rRNA". It matches the Rfam family "Bacterial small subunit ribosomal RNA", at positions 1016 to 1368 of the family's 1533-position model. The record is from RNAcentral.
UCCUUCGGGACUGCUAUACAGGGGGUGCAUGGUUGUCGUCAGCUCGUGUCGUGAGAUGUUGGGUUAAGUCCCGCAACGAGCGCAACCCCUGUUGCUAGUUGAUAACAUUAAGUUGAUCACUCUAGCGAGACUGCCGGUGAUAAAUCGGAGGAAGGUGGGGACGACGUCAAAUCAUCAUGCCCCUUAUGUCUUGGGCUACACACGUACUACAAUGGCUAUAACAGAGGGAAGCUAAGCUGCAAAGUGGAGCAAAUCCCCAAAAAUAGUCCCAGUUCAGAUUGUGGGCUGCAACCCGCCCACAUGAAGUCGGAAUUGCUAGUAAUGGCAGGUCAGCAUACUGCCGUGAAUA